Molecule: long non-coding RNA, 1726 nt
Organism: Chloebia gouldiae (Gouldian finch)
Lineage: Eukaryota; Metazoa; Chordata; Aves; Passeriformes; Passeridae
Source: Ensembl
AAAAAAGGGCUGGUUUGAGGAAUUGUAACAUUUAUUGGAUGUAAAAAGUGGCAGGACAUUAUCAAAGGCACCCCAACACCAGGAGCAGGAGCAGGGCAAUCCUGGAGACCUCACACGGGGGUGCAGCAUCCAGGGGACAGGAGAGGACACACUGGGAAGGACCAGGCAGCAGAGCCAGGGCUGGGGGUAAACAGGAGCCGUGGCAGACACUCAGAACUGGAGCUGCCCAGGGCUGUUACUUCUGCUGGCAGGGCCAGUAGGAGCUCUGCUUGCACUGGUGGGACACCACGCUGGGGAUGACAAUGGGACAUUUCUGCUGGGAGGAGCCUCCGCUGCCCCCUCCAGAGCUGAUGAUGAUGGUCUGGCCUGAGGAGCCGCUGCUGCAUCCUCCUCCCAUCCCAUAGCUGGAUCCUCCACUGCAGCAUCCAGAGGAACCUCCACUGCCUCCACCUCCAAUGAUGCUCUUUGAUCCUGAAGAUCCACCGUACCCUCCUCCCAUGCCAUAUCCUGAAGAUCCUCCACUGCAGCAUCCAGAGGAACCUCCACUGCUUCCCCCUCCAAUGAUGACCUUUGUCCCUGAAGAGCCACCACCGUAUGCUCCGCCCAUCCCAUAGCUGGAUCCUCCACCACAGUAUCCAGAGGAACCUCCACCUCCAAUGAUGCUCUUUGAUCCUGAAGACCCACCAUAUCCUCCGCCCAUCCCGUAGCUGGAUCCUCCACCACAGUAUCCAGAGGAACCUCCACUACCUCCACCUACAAUGAUGCUCUUUGAUCCUGAAGAUCCACCACCNGAUCCACCACCGCAGCAUCCGGAGGAUCCACCACCGCCUCCACCUCCAAUGAUGAUCUUGGUUCCUGAAGAUCCGCCACUGGACCCUCCUCCCAUGCCGCCUCCGCCGCAGCAUCCAGAGGAUCCUCCACUACCUCCACCUCCCAUCAUGCUCUUUGAAGAUCCACCGCUGGAUCCUCCACCGCAGCAUCCAGAGGAUCCACCACCGCCUCCUCCUCCACCCCCAGAGCUGAUAAUGAUCUUCUGGGCUGAUCCGCCGGAGGAUCCUCCACCGCAGCAGGAUCCGCCUCCUCCCCCGCCGGAGGAGCCCUGGGACUGGUAGCUCCCCCGGCAGCAGCAGCAGCAGCCACAGCCGUGGCACCCGCUUUGUCUGGAGCACAUCUUGGAGCAGUGACCCUGCAAGGAAAAGCUUUUUACUCCAGGGCAGCCACCAGUUCUCAUGAGAAUUUCCCAAGGCCCAUGAGGCCAGUCCAGCCCAACAGCACUUUGUAGUGUCCAGGGUGAUCUUUUAAAGACUUUUAUCCCAAAGUGGUCCCAUCUCCUUAUCCCAAAGCCAUUCCAUCUCCAUCUCAAUACUGAUGAGAGACAACCUUCAGCAGCCGGGCUGAUCCUGCUUCUGUUUGGUCUGGUGGGACCAAGGCAUCCACAAGAGAUUUAAAUUCAUCCCAGCAACUUUUCUGCCCUUCCACCGCCACCCACCAGAUGUUUUUUACCAAAACUUUUGUGUUUCGGAAGCAGGAAAGGAAGAGAAGAAUCCCUCCCUUGGGCAGGCCUGGACUUACCCUUCUCGGCUCUGACCACGGACACCUCAGGGCAAAGCUGAAUGAAGCACCCCGAGAUCCACCAACUUUUAUACCGUUUUUCCUGAGUGGGAAGUGAGGCAUCCAAAGGAAUGGUGAUAGGUUUAUUUACCAAACAGGCUCUCCUCCUCCUUCC